Molecule: ribosomal RNA, 118 nt
Filed under: Sideroxylon angustum
Lineage: Eukaryota; Viridiplantae; Streptophyta; Magnoliopsida; Ericales; Sapotaceae
Description: 5.8S ribosomal RNA
Rfam family: 5.8S ribosomal RNA
About the family: 5.8S ribosomal RNA (5.8S rRNA) is a component of the large subunit of the eukaryotic ribosome. It is transcribed by RNA polymerase I as part of the 45S precursor that also contains 18S and 28S rRNA. Functionally, it is thought that 5.8S rRNA may be involved in ribosome translocation.
Source: RNAcentral
GAACGACUCUCGGCAACGGAUAUCUCGGCUCUCGCAUCGAUGAAGAACGUAGCGAAAUGCGAUACUUGGUGGCGCCCGAAGCCAUUAGGCCGAGGGCACGCCUGCCUGGGCGUCUCAC